AACGAACGCUGGCGGCAUGCCUAACACAUGCAAGUCGAACGAGACCUUCGGGUCUAGUGGCGCACGGGUGCGUAACGCGUGGGAACCUGCCCUUAGGUUCGGAAUAACUCCCCGAAAGGGGUGCUAAUACCGGAUAAUGUCUUCGGACCAAAGAUUUAUCGCCUUUGGAUGGGCCCGCGUUGGAUUAGCUAGUUGGUAGGGUAAAAGCCUACCAAGGCGACGAUCCAUAGCUGGUCUGAGAGGAUGAUCAGCCACACUGGGACUGAGACACGGCCCAGACUCCUACGGGAGGCAGCAGUGGGGAAUAUUGGACAAUGGGCGAAAGCCUGAUCCAGCAAUGCCGCGUGAGUGAUGAAGUCCUUAGGGUUGUAAAGCUCUUUUAACCGGGAUGAUAAUGACAGUACCGGGAGAAUAAGCUCCGGCUAACUCCGUG
Molecule: ribosomal RNA, 433 nt
Filed under: uncultured bacterium
Lineage: Bacteria
Description: partial 16S ribosomal RNA
Rfam family: Bacterial small subunit ribosomal RNA
Source: RNAcentral